UUACGAACAAGAUAUUUCGACUACACUCUCGCUAAAUAAGUAGUGAUAUCAAAAUUAACUAUGAACUUAUUUUCUUUGAUACUGCCCAUUUUGCUGCUAUGCGCUGUGUUGGUGAACAGUCAGAUAAGAUUCAGUUAUUCAAUGGACAAUAAGACUGAGGUCACCGGGGAACUAACGCCUGGCUCUCAACUAACUAUAAUUUUUGGACCUGCGUAAUAGGUUUUUCUACUUUUGUCUUAAAUGUGGAAAUAAAAUAUGGCUAUAACAUUGUUGUAAA
This is a long non-coding RNA of Manduca sexta (tobacco hornworm), 277 nucleotides long. RefSeq lists it as uncharacterized. NCBI's taxonomy places the organism in Eukaryota, Metazoa, Arthropoda, Insecta, Lepidoptera, Sphingidae. The transcript has 2 exons. The record is from RefSeq and is a predicted model, not a curated record.